RNAcentral lists this ribosomal RNA (531 nucleotides) under Trachylepis elegans (elegant mabuya). RNAcentral describes it as "partial 16S ribosomal RNA". It matches the Rfam family "Bacterial large subunit ribosomal RNA", at positions 1841 to 2621 of the family's 2925-position model. Lineage: Eukaryota; Metazoa; Chordata; Lepidosauria; Squamata; Scincidae. The record is from RNAcentral.
AAGUAUUAAAGGUCCCGCCUGCCCAGUGAAACAUCUUAAACGGCCGCGGUAUUCUAACCGUGCAAAGGUAGCGUAAUCACUUGUCUUCUAAAUAAAGACCUGUAUGAACGGCUAAAUGAGGACAAACCUGUCUCUUAUAACCAAUCAGUGAAACUGAUCUCCCAAUACAAAAGUUGGGAUAUACACAUAAGACGAGAAGACCCCGUGGAGCUUAAAACAAACUACCAAUCUAAACGACCCUGGUAUACUGUUUUGAGUUGGGGCGACUUCGGAACAAAACAAAACUUCCGAGCACAGAACCACCACUUCUAACUAAGGCCAACAAGCCUAAGUUUAACCUGACCCGGCCUCGCGCCGAUCAACGAACCAAGUUACCCCGGGGAUAACAGCGCUAUCUUCUUCAAGAGUCCCUAUCAACAAGAAGGUUUACGACCUCGAUGUUGGAUCAGGACACCCUAAUGGUGCAGCCGCUAUUAACGGUUCGUUUGUUCAACGAUUAACAGUCCUACGUGAUCUGAGUUCAGACCGGAG